UGCUGAGGUGGGAACUCUGAUCUUGUCUCUGCAGCUGCUCUUGAGACAUUUCUGAGCUUAUGCUCGCUUUCACGGACUCCAGUCCAGCAGGAGCUAGACAUGGAUUCCGGAGUCUCAAUACAACCUUUUUAUGCCACUCACUCACAGAACAGAUGCCUAUUCACCGGCUGCAUGGUUCCAACAGAGGAGAGGUUAGGAGAGAGAGCCUGCCAGAUGCAAGAGAGAUCCAGUGCAUGAUGUUCUGUCAGCCCAAAUGGAGACAAGGAAUCGACCUGCCAUCUUUGUUCUCUGUCCACCAUCUACAACUUCUGGGGAAGGAGUUUCCUCUCCUUGCAAUUCCUUCCAAAGGGAAAAACAGCAAAUCUCAGUCCCCAGCCUCUCCGGGCAUCGCCUUUCCUUCCAGGAUCAUGUGACUCAUUAGAAACUGGGUGGUCAGAUAAUAGAGGCCUAACUCAACGCUGUUAUCUCACCGACUCUCACCUCCUCUGGAUGCCAAAGGGUGAGUGUAGCAUACACUGAGAGAUGGCACAUCUUUAGCUCUGAACAAAGGGCUGCCUAGAGACUGCUGUCACAUUUCAGAGGAGAGCACUUUUAUCCCUGGAGAUGGGGUUGAAGUUCUAGUGUGAAGAGAUGGGAGGGAGACUGGGGUCAUGGCCACCCUCCCUUAGGCCCCAUCAGACUGCACAGAUGGCUGCUUUGAUGAGCUAUCUUUUGAGGGCAGAAGCUGUACCUUAUUUAUCAGUGUGUCACAGUUCUUGGUACAUAGAUGGUGCUGGAUGGACGAUGAAAACCAGAACAGGCCUGAGUGAUUGACAGCUCCCAGUAGCCCCUGGGCAGCAUGGUACCUCAGUGGCUAUGCGCUUAUGAGGGCUACUCCAUACAUGCUCUCAUCCAUGAUGCUAUUUUGUUUUUGUUUAUUUCUGAGAGAGAGUCUCACUCUGUAGCCCUGGUUAUCCUGGAGCUAUCUAUGAAGACCAGACUGGAUUCUACUUUGUUUAUCAAAAGUCUUAGAAAUUAGGCAAAGAACAUCCCCAGCUGCACUUUCAUGAAGGAAUGCCUUCUAAAUCAAUUGGGAAAAACAAGAAAACCACUCUAAUUCUCCUGUGAGCACCAAGCUUGACCACCAACAUAGAAACACCAGGGGUUUGAAGGACACUGCUGACAUCCGUCCAGAGCAUCAACCAAACAAAGUUGAAGGUUAAGGUUGACACUUUUGGGAACAAUGACAAAGGUACACAGAUGCUGUUCACUGUGGCUGUUGUAUUAUUAUGAAUGUUUGGAACCUCAUCGGGUACUGUGAAUUAUUGUUGUAGGAAAAUAAAUAGCAAUAAGUGUAUAUACAGUAUAAGCUUUCCCCUAGUCCUGUGAGUUGGCUGGGUCUGUCUGGUUCAAGUUGGGAAUUCCAGCUGCUCAGACAGGAUUGUAAUCUACAGGCUUGCCUUGGGGGAAAAGUGGGUUCAGAGGCAGCCUGAGCUACUUUCUAAGUGAGCCUGUCUCAAAAAUAAAAUCAUGCUGAGUAUAUAGCUCUGUGCUAGACUUUGCCUACCAUCCCUGGUUUAAAAAAAAAAAUCCUAUGGGUGGAGUUCCAAGAAACAACAAAGUCUGAAAGCAAAAACAAAUCCAAGAGACUGCUCAUCAGAUAAAGGCAACUACCUAAAUCUGAUGACCCAAGUUUCAUCUGGGGGGUUUUACGGGCCAGAAGAGAGAACUGACUCUUGCACGUUGUCCUCUGACCUCCAUAUACUCGCUACAGCAUGUGUACCCACACUCCAAAUACACCCAAAAGAAAAAACACUAUAGGUUUUUUUUUAAAGUCCCAAACCAUGAUUCUGUGUAGUGCUGUUGCCUCAAACAGCAAUUAAGAACAUUCCCACAAGCCAAUCUAAUAAGGGCAAUUUUCUUUAGCUCAGUCUCUCUUCCUGAGUGACUCUAGGUUUGUGCCACCUUGAAACUAUGACAAGUUAUUUCUCAUUUUUCCUCAAUAAAUCUGUGUUUGUUCUGAUUACUGCUUAUCUGUGCUUCCUUUUUCUCCUUGGGCGUGAGACAAGGAACUUGGGGUCCGCUGGCCUGGGGUGUCUGGCUAUUAUCUGACUGUCUGGGGCCCUUGUACCUUGAGUUAAACCCUGAGAGCAAGGAACGGCUCAGUCCUCUCAAUAAACCGCUCUCAGUUUGACAAAUGGUAACUAAUUCAAAAGUAGAAGUGAUGCUAUGCAGUUUUCUUAGUAAAAACAAGAACUAAUGCGAACUAAUUCCUUUAUUAUUCCUUGGGUACCAGGAACUUCUAAAAUAUAGGUCAGAAAGAACAGUGCACAGCAAAAUACAAUCUAAUUUGAGAUUUUCCACUUUAUAUUAAUGAAUUUACCUAGCAAAGCAUUUUACUAAGUUAAAAAAGAAAAAGACCACAUUUUCGUCUCCUUAAAGGGGAUUUUUUUUUUUCUUGAAAGGAGGCCUUUUAUAUUUCAUUGCAGGUCUCCCCCAACCCUGCACCAGCUUAUGUAUUUUUUUUUAGCUACACUAUACAACUUUAAAUGUUAAAGAC
Molecule: long non-coding RNA, 2539 nt
Filed under: Cricetulus griseus (Chinese hamster)
Lineage: Eukaryota; Metazoa; Chordata; Mammalia; Rodentia; Cricetidae
Description: lncRNA (ENSCGRG00000024200.1)
Source: RNAcentral